This 421-nucleotide ribosomal RNA is filed under the name Fusobacteriota bacterium. Its description in RNAcentral is "Fusobacteria bacterium partial 16S ribosomal RNA". It matches the Rfam family "Bacterial small subunit ribosomal RNA", at positions 355 to 776 of the family's 1533-position model. The record is from RNAcentral. Lineage: Bacteria; Fusobacteriati; Fusobacteriota.
UGGGGAAUAUUGCACAAUGGACGGAAGUUUGAUGCAGCGACGCCGCGUGGAGGGUGUAGGUCUUCGGUUUGUGAACUCCUUUUUCUCGCGAAAAAGGCACAGUUUUGGCUGUGUUGAUGGUAGUGGGGGAAGAAGCGCCGGCUAACUACGUGCCAGCAGCCGCGGUAAUACGUAGGGCGCGAGCGUUGUCCGGAUUUAUUGGGCGUAAAGAGCUCGUAGGUGGUUCGUCGCGUCUGUCGUGAAAGCCAGCAGCUUAACUGUUGGUCUGCGGUGGGUACGGGCGGGCUUGAGUGCGGUAGGGGUGACUGGAAUUCCUGGUGUAGCGGUGGAAUGCGCAGAUAUCAGGAGGAACACCGAUGGCGAAGGCAGGUCACUGGGCCGUUACUGACACUGAGGAGCGAAAGCGUGGGGAGCGAACAGG